This 253-nucleotide ribosomal RNA is filed under the name uncultured bacterium. Its description in RNAcentral is "partial 16S ribosomal RNA". It matches the Rfam family "Bacterial small subunit ribosomal RNA", at positions 524 to 776 of the family's 1533-position model. The record is from RNAcentral.
UACGUAGGGGGCAAGCGUUGUCCGGAAUCAUUGGGCGUAAAGCGCGUGUAGGCGGUUCGAUAAGUCUGCUGUGAAAGUCCAGGGCUCAACCCUGGGAUGCCGGUGGAUACUGUCGAGCUAGAGUACGGAAGAGGCGAGUGGAAUUCCCGGUGUAGCGGUGAAAUGCGCAGAUAUCGGGAGGAACACCAAUUGCGAAGGCAGCUCGCUGGGACGUCACUGACGCUGAGACGCGAAAGCGUGGGGAGCAAACAGG